AACGCACCUUGCGCUCCUUGGUAUUCCGAGGAGCAUGCCUGUUUGAGUGUCAUUAAAUUAUCAACCGCGAAAGGCUUUUUUUGGUCUUUCGGGGCUUGGAGUUGGAGGCUUGCCGGCGUGAGUCGGCUCCUCUUAAAUGUAUCAGCGAAACCUUUUUCGGCUUUGGUGUGAUAAUCACGUUGCGCCGUCGCUUGAAGGCAUAAAGAGUUUCGCUUAUAAUGGUCUUCGGACAAAUAAAACCAUUGAAUUUGACCUCAAAUCAGGUAGGACUACCCGCUGAACUUAA
Molecule: unclassified non-coding RNA, 286 nt
Filed under: uncultured fungus
Lineage: Eukaryota; Fungi
Also listed under: 2 other names
Description: partial contains 5.8S ribosomal RNA, internal transcribed spacer 2, and large subunit ribosomal RNA
Rfam family: 5.8S ribosomal RNA (bases 1-52)
Source: RNAcentral